This 1128-nucleotide unclassified non-coding RNA is filed under the name Bombus terrestris (buff-tailed bumblebee). Its description in RNAcentral is "misc RNA ENSBTSG00005020159.1". Lineage: Eukaryota; Metazoa; Arthropoda; Insecta; Hymenoptera; Apidae. The record is from RNAcentral.
CCAUCACACUCGUUAAUUUGGCAGUCAAUCUUAAUUUUCAGAAGAAUGGCUCACAAUAUAAAAUAUUUUAUAGAAAUAAAUGUAAAUAUAUUUUAAUGUUAAAAAAAGGAAGGAUAAUAUAGAGUUAUCGACCAACUAACAUGUGGAGAAACACUAAAUGGGAGUGACUUGUCGGUGUACAACAUAAAAUUAGAAUAUGAAAUUCUAGCAAUCUCUUUAUGGAUUAAAUGUUGGCACGAGGGAAAUCCAGGCUACAGCAUAAUAAAGUAUAAUAAAAUUAGAGCUGGUGGCGGAACAAAGGACUAUCGAUUUAUGAUCAGUCGCGUUGGUCAUCAAACAACAAUUUCGCAUAUGCUUCGACACUCAUACGUGAAACAUUACGAUGCGGUUAUAAAAUAUUACGAAAUGGGUACAAAAGUGCAGUUGGGACCAGAACAGGAAUCGUACGUAAGUAUACUUCCCUUGAUAUUCUUAUCUUUUUCGGUGGCCAUUCUGCUGUGAUUUAUUCGUUUUCCAGGGAUUUAUUCACGCAUGCACAUGACACGACGGGAGUGAGAGACCUGUUGCGACCGGCUUGCGGUCGAAUUGCAAAAAGAUUGAAUCUGCCACGUAAUAUGCUGCAGCGCUCAGUAACAUUGUAUAAACCGACGUAAUUUAACUGCUUUCGUUGGUCGAAAUUAAAAUCGGGUUGUUCGUAUUUUGUCGCGGUGUCUACGGAUCUACAAUAUUUCCGUUAUAUUAUGAAUCAUAACAAGACAGACAGGAAGACAACAGUUUAUGUUCCCUAGGUCGGUUAAAUCUACUUACAAUUUAAUGUAAUUAGAAUGUAACUAGACAUACCUAUCUUGAUACAGUGAGAACCAACACGGUCUUGUCAAUUACAUAGCGACCGCUAAGCAACACUCCGAUUACCAAAUCAACGUGGAUUUAUCUCAUUCAGUCGAGGUAGAGAUAAUAAUUAGAUUACCCAUACUUGGUUGGUACUGUAAAUUAAAGGCAAGUAAGUUUACGAUACCAACAGUCAACAUGUUAAAAAUAUUAUUUCCAUGGAGAUUCCUACGCAUGCAUCUAUGUUGUAACAAAAUCGUCAAAAUUAUUUAUAUAUAAUUAUAUGUACGUGUCUUAAUA